This 242-nucleotide ribosomal RNA is filed under the name uncultured bacterium. RNAcentral's name for it is "partial 16S ribosomal RNA". It matches the Rfam family "Bacterial small subunit ribosomal RNA", at positions 116 to 353 of the family's 1533-position model. The record is from RNAcentral.
CGUGGGUAACCUGCCUUAUAGUGGGGGAUAGCCUUUCGAAAGGAAGAUUAAUACCGCAUAAGAUUGUAGUAUCGCAUGAUAUAGCAAUUAAAGGAGCAAUUCGCUAUAAGAUGGACCCGCGUCGCAUUAGCUAGUUGGUGAGGUAAUGGCUCACCAAGGCGACGAUGCGUAGCCGACCUGAGAGGGUGAUCGGCCACAUUGGGACUGAGACACGGUCCAGACUCCUACCGGGAGGCAGCAUG